CCAAAUCCCCACCCCCUGGACGGUCCCCGGAUUGUCCUCUCGCCCACAUACAACCUAGGCCCCUCUAAGCCUCUUCAUUGAGCCUUGCUUUCCAGGCCUGAUCGAGCUUCUGAGAUGGGAGACAAAGUUAGCCCCAUUUCUCGAAGAAGGAAACUGAGGCCCGGGAAGGUUUAAGGUACUUGCCUGAGGGUCCACGGACUGGGACUCAGGUGUCCAGACUUCUAGUUCAUCAAGCCAUUUUCCCUUCAGUUUCCCCCUGACAUUUGUGGCUGUUAUUAUCUCGGCUGCAUUCACUGCCGUACUGGCCCUAGCAUGUCGGGCCCAGUGCUGGGUAUUUGGAGUAAAAGCCAGUGGGCUCCGGAGUCAGACUCUGCAGAUCGAGUCCUGGCUCAGCUAUUUGCCAGCUGAAUAAUACUGGGAGAGUUUCUUCAUCUCCCUGUGUCUCCGUUUUCUCAUCUGUAAGAGGGAGGCAAGGAUAGCUACCCCUUACAAAGCCUUUACUUCAUACCAGUCACUAUACUAAGACCUUUGUGUGUAUCCUCGCACUCAGUCCUUAGAACAGCCCUGUGAAGUAGGUAGUCUCUCCCAUCUUAGGUUAAGGGGCCACCCAGACCUUACCUCUCCUCUCCUCUCCUCUCUCAUGCAGUUGUCAUUGAUUUCAGGCCCUGCUCAGGUUCUGACAGACAAUUCAUUGAACUCAUUCUGUUAUGUGCCAGGCACUGGCUUGGACACUUGCAGCAUGUUGCCUCUGCCAACUGCCUAGAAUUUAAGCCUGACUUUGCCGCCUUACUGACCCCAGCAACUUAACCUGUCUGUGCCUUAAUUUUCUUAUCUACAGAAUGGAUAACUGAAAUUUACUAUGUCUUUAUUACAUGCGAAGUGCAGUACUGAUAUCUUUACAUACAUUGCCAUUAAAAAAAAUUCUCGGAGCCCUAUGAAGUAGGAACUUUGCAGAAGAGGAAAAACUGAGACUCAUCUCGUGGUGAGGAGUAAACGGGAUAAUCCAAAUGAACAUUUAGCAUGGGGUGAGGCACAGUGUAGGCAUUCAGCAGAUUAUGGUGAGAUGAGACUUUUGAUUACUCACUGUGAGGCAUGGUCUUUACCUUCAAGUUGCUUACAGUCUGGUGGGGAAAGAUGGACACCUACACUCCCGGAUGAGUUUCAUAAUGGAAGACUGAAGAAAUGAAGCUCAGAGCUGCUCCAGACACCCUAUAUGUGGUAGGCCUUUAUAGCGAAGUGGCUUUACAAGUGUUCUAUACUAUCUGUGAGUUGGGGACACCACAGAUGUCCUGCUCUACAGUUUGACCAGUUUGGAAUGGACAUGGGUAGUGAGUGAAAGGACCUAUUUCUGUCGUAUAGGAAGGACAUCUGAACAAGUGAGUUGUCCCCCAGGAUUGGGAUGGAGGGGUGUGCAUGUUGUGUGUAUUGUGACUGUGUGUGCUCAAGAGCUCUAGGGUUUUGUCAUAUCACCUUGACACACAUGGUGCUUAUGUUGACUGUUGAGGAUGUUGAAUAUGGAGGGAUACAGUUUAUCCUAAAUAAAUCCCCAUUGUUAAGUUCUGGGGUGAUGAAAAUUAAUUGGCAUUGUAAACAGUGAAAACCUUGGGUCUCAAGCCCCUUAGAUACCUUGUUUGUCUACUGAGAAGUAUAUAUCAGGUCUUGAAUGUCCACACUGACAUUUUACAAUAUGGAUUCUAGGUUUUUUUUUUUUCAACAUAAAGUGUAUGGAAUUUUAAAGCUUCACUUAAUGAAAUUUGCUUUGUUGAAGUUCUGUUUUGCUUUCGAAUCUGCUAACUUGCAUGGGAUUAUAGGUGUAGUAGUUUCACUUACAUCAACUUUGCAGAGCAAGGUUUGCUUUAACAAAAAAGCACGUUUUGCCAUAAUCAUACCUUUGUAGCAACAGUAGAUAUUGUAACUACUGACACUUUUGUUCUGCUUUUGAAUAAUAA
Homo sapiens (human) is the source of this 1949-nucleotide long non-coding RNA. RefSeq lists it as uncharacterized. The transcript is spliced from 2 exons. NCBI's taxonomy places the organism in Eukaryota, Metazoa, Chordata, Mammalia, Primates, Hominidae. The record is from RefSeq and is a predicted model, not a curated record.